RNAcentral lists this ribosomal RNA (497 nucleotides) under uncultured bacterium. RNAcentral's name for it is "partial 16S ribosomal RNA". It matches the Rfam family "Bacterial small subunit ribosomal RNA", at positions 28 to 507 of the family's 1533-position model. The record is from RNAcentral.
GAUGAACGCUGGCGGCGUGCCUAAUACAUGCAAGUCGAGCGAACAGAUGAGGAGCUUGCUCCUCUGACGUUAGCGGCGGACGGGUGAGUAACACGUGGAUAACCUACCUAUAAGACUGGGAUAACUUCGGGAAACCGGAGCUAAUACCGGAUAAUAUAUUGAACCGCAUGGUUCAAUAGUGAAAGACGGUUUUGCUGUCACUUAUAGAUGGAUCCGCGCCGCAUUAGCUAGUUGGUAAGGUAACGGCUUACCAAGGCAACGAUGCGUAGCCGACCUGAGAGGGUGAUCGGCCACACUGGAACUGAGACACGGUCCAGACUCCUACGGGAGGCAGCAGUAGGGAAUCUUCCGCAAUGGGCGAAAGCCUGACGGAGCAACGCCGCGUGAGUGAUGAAGGUCUUCGGAUCGUAAAACUCUGUUAUUAGGGAAGAACAAAUGUAUAAGUAACUAUGCACGUCUUGACGGUACCUAAUCAGAAAGCCACGGCUAACUACGUG